UAGAGCCAACCCCUUAAGCAGAAAGUGUCUAUCCUUUCCUGCCAUUUCCCCACUGAGAUACAUCCUCGUGGAUGACGGUUGUUUCCGUUCCCUCCCUAACGGGAGGGGUUUUCCCUAUUGAGUUCUUUCCUCAUUAGGAUGAGUCUUGAUCCAGUCUGCCUUUUUGGAUCAAUCCUAAAUUGGCUUCCUGUUGGCUGUCUCCCGUGCUUCCCUGGGGCAUAAAUGAAUAGUCGCUCAUUAACC
RNAcentral lists this long non-coding RNA (243 nucleotides) under Lathyrus oleraceus (garden pea). Its description in RNAcentral is "Pisum sativum (pea) long non-coding RNA (PSAT_LNC030932)". Lineage: Eukaryota; Viridiplantae; Streptophyta; Magnoliopsida; Fabales; Fabaceae. The record is from RNAcentral.